AAUCAACGCUGGCGGCGUGCCUCAGACAUGCAAGUCGAACGCGAAAGUCCCCCUCGGGGGACGAAGUAGAGUGGCGCACGGGUGAGUAACACGUAGGUAAUCUACCUUCGGGUGGGGGAAGUAACAAUACGGAAACGGUUUUGCUAAUACCGCAUAAUGCAGCGGCACCUAAUGGUGACAGUUGUUAAAGCGGGGGAGUCGCAAGAUCUCGCGCCUGAAGAGGAGCCUGCGGCGGAUUAGCUAGUUGGUAGGGUAA
This 256-nucleotide ribosomal RNA is filed under the name uncultured bacterium. Its description in RNAcentral is "partial 16S ribosomal RNA". It matches the Rfam family "Bacterial small subunit ribosomal RNA", at positions 32 to 260 of the family's 1533-position model. The record is from RNAcentral.